GAUGAACGCUGGCGGCGUGCCUAAUACAUGCAAGUCGAGCGAACGGACGAGAAGCUUGCUUCUCUGAUGUUAGCGGCGGACGGGUGAGUAACACGUGGAUAACCUACCUAUAAGACUGGGAUAACUUCGGGAAACCGGAGCUAAUACCGGAUAAUAUUUUGAACCGCAUGGUUCAAAAGUGAAAGACGGUCUUGCUGUCACUUAUAGAUGGAUCCGCGCUGCAUUAGCUAGUUGGUAAGGUAACGGCUUACCAAGGCAACGAGGCAUAGCCGACCUGAGAGGGUGAUCGGCCACACUGGAACGGAGACACGGUCCAGACUCCUACGGGAGGCAGCAGUAGGGAAUCGUCCGCAAUGGGCGAAAGCCUGACGGAGCAACGCCGCGUGAGUGAUGAAGGUCUUCGGAGCGUAAAACUCUGUUAUUAGGGAAGAACAUAUGUGUAAGUAACUGUGCACAUCUUGACGGUACCUAAUCAGAAAGCCACGGCUAACUACGUG
Molecule: ribosomal RNA, 497 nt
Filed under: uncultured bacterium
Lineage: Bacteria
Description: partial 16S ribosomal RNA
Rfam family: Bacterial small subunit ribosomal RNA
Source: RNAcentral